UGGUUACUAUUCAAAUAAGCAUAAUAAUUAGCUUUAAUUUAUGAUAACUUGUCAUUAUCAUGAUUUUUAAAAUACCAAUUUCUAAAAUUCUGGUAUUUGUUCUGCAUAAACUCCCGGUUUAAACAUUGGCGAAUUUUACUAUUUGGAGCAAAAUCAAUUUAACACUCAAAAUUCAUAUCACUAGCAGUUGGACUAUAAGGUCUUCUGUUCUGAGGAGUAGCCUCAUAAAUACCAUGAGGUAUUUGGUUUUCAGAAAUAUGAAUUCCUCUAAUUAUGUCUUCAUUUUUGACAGACUCAUUGCUGGGAUUUUUAGACUCUUGAUAAACAGAUUCUAAAGGGUCAGACAUAGAUUGUCUAGAUGAUUCAGGGAAAUCAAUAUUAUAAGAAAUAUU
RNAcentral lists this long non-coding RNA (392 nucleotides) under Panax ginseng (ginseng). Its description in RNAcentral is "long non-coding RNA (PGIN_LNC007549)". The record is from RNAcentral. Lineage: Eukaryota; Viridiplantae; Streptophyta; Magnoliopsida; Apiales; Araliaceae.